GAAUACUAAACACUGUUGCUUCGGCGGGGAGCCCCUUCCGGGGGGCAAGCCGCCGGGGACCACUGAACUUCAUGCCUGAGAGUGAUGCAGUCUGAGUCUGAAUUAUAAAUCAGUCAAAACUUUCAACAAUGGAUCUCUUGGUUCCGGCAUCGAUGAAGAACGCAGCGAACUGCGAUAAGUAAUGUGAAUUGCAGAAUUCAGUGAAUCAUCGAGUCUUUGAACGCACAUUGCGCCCCCUGGCAUUCCGGGGGGCAUGCCUGUCCGAGCGUCAUUGCUGCCCUUCAAGCCCGGCUUGUGUGUUGGGUCGUCGUCCCCCCCGGGGGACGGGCCCGAAAGGCAGCGGCGGCACCGUGUCCGGUCCUCGAGCGUAUGGGGCUUUGUCACCCGCUCGAUUAGGGCCGGCCGGGCGCCAGCCGGCGUCAUCAAUCUAUUUUACCAGGUUGACCUCGGAUCA
This 454-nucleotide unclassified non-coding RNA is filed under the name Aspergillus sp. 2 MS-2015. RNAcentral describes it as "sequence contains 18S rRNA gene, ITS1, 5.8S rRNA gene, ITS2, 28S rRNA gene". The stretch from base 118 to 271 matches the Rfam family "5.8S ribosomal RNA". The record is from RNAcentral. Lineage: Eukaryota; Fungi; Ascomycota; Eurotiomycetes; Eurotiales; Aspergillaceae.